GGUAGUAACACGUGGAUAACCUACCUAUAAGACUGGGAUAACUUCGGGAAACCGGAGCUAAUACCGGAUAAUAUAUUGAACCGCAUGGUUCAAUAGUGAAAGACGGUUUUGCUGUCACUUAUAGAUGGAUCCGCGCCGCAUUAGCUAGUUGGUAAGGUAACGGCUUACCAAGGCACGAUGCGUAGCCGACCUGAGAGGGUGAUCGGCCACACUGGAACUGAGACACGGUCCAG
This 233-nucleotide ribosomal RNA is filed under the name uncultured Staphylococcus sp. RNAcentral describes it as "partial 16S ribosomal RNA". It matches the Rfam family "Bacterial small subunit ribosomal RNA", at positions 105 to 334 of the family's 1533-position model. The record is from RNAcentral. Lineage: Bacteria; Bacillati; Bacillota; Bacilli; Caryophanales; Staphylococcaceae.